Diorhabda carinulata is the source of this 597-nucleotide long non-coding RNA. RefSeq lists it as uncharacterized. The transcript is spliced from 3 exons. The record is from RefSeq and is a predicted model, not a curated record. Lineage: Eukaryota; Metazoa; Arthropoda; Insecta; Coleoptera; Chrysomelidae.
AUAAUAAUAACGAAGAAUUGUUAAUAGUUGAAAAACAUGGUGUCGAAUAUUACCUAUACGGAUAUGAUGUAGCUGAUAUACUUGAAAUUAAUCAAAAAGGAACAUGGCAUUCCUCACAAUAAUAACCGAAUGAAAACGCUGCGGUUAACAAGUUUUAGAUAAAGAAUGUUUUGAAGGACUGGAAUGUUUAUUUUUUGAUUCACACCCUAUGCCAUAAGAAGAAGACGCAAUUCCAUAGUACACCUACCACGAAACCAAUUUGACACCCCAAUCGUAAAGCUGCUGUUGCUACUGGAACUUUUUGGAUUCAUAGAUAUAAGCAAACAACAACAAGUACCGAAUAUAAUUCAAACCAGAUACAUAUUUAAUGUAAUUGGAUGUAAAUAGCUUAUACGGUUGGGCAAUGUGUGAAUUUCUACCUUACGGAGGAUUUGAGUGGAUCUCGAAACAAACAUAGAGGUUGUCACCUCAGUAUCGGAUGAUUGACAGGGGAUGUAUGUUAGAAGUGAAUUUAGAAUAUUCUUCAUAUACAGGAUGUCAAUUUGAAACUUCUCCCUACCUUAAUAUAUAUAUUUUGGGCCCCUAUCUUUUCAAUUG